UGGUCAAGUUAUUAAGGGUGCAGGGCGGAUGCCUUGGCACUAGGAGCCGAUGAAGGACGUGAUAAGCUGCGAUAAGCUUCGGGGAGUUGCACGUAAACUUUGAUCCGAAGAUUUCCGAAUGAGGAAACUCACUUAGAGUAAUGUCUAAGUAUCAUUAAGUGAAUACAUAGCUUAAUGAGGGGAACUCAGGGAACUGAAACAUCUAAGUACCUGAAGGAAGAGAAAGAAAUUCGAUUCCGUAAGUAGCGGCGAGCGAACGCGGAUUAGCCCAAACCAAUAAAGUU
Molecule: ribosomal RNA, 284 nt
Filed under: Clostridioides difficile
Lineage: Bacteria; Bacillati; Bacillota; Clostridia; Peptostreptococcales; Peptostreptococcaceae
Description: partial 23S ribosomal RNA
Rfam family: Bacterial large subunit ribosomal RNA
Source: RNAcentral